RNAcentral lists this unclassified non-coding RNA (363 nucleotides) under uncultured bacterium. RNAcentral describes it as "contains 16S-23S intergenic spacer region". The record is from RNAcentral.
UCCCCGUUACCGGGGCAGUCUGAAUAGAAAAAUCCAACUAUUCAUAAGGGUUGCGCUCGUUGAUGGACUUAACCAAACAUCUCACGACACGAGCUGACGACGGCCAUGCAUCACCUGUCACUUGGUUCAAUAAAGCACUCACUGCUUUCACAGUAAUUCCAAGGAUGUCAAACCCUGGUAAGGUUCUUCGGUUAUCAUCGAAUUAAAGAACAUGCUCCACCACUUGUGCGGAGCCCCGUCAAUUCCUUUAUGUUUUAGUCUUGCGACCGUACUCCACAGGCGGGAUGCUUAACGCGUUAGCUUCGCUACGGAAGGGGUCGAUACCCCCCACAGCUAGCAUCCAUCGUUUACGGCGUGGACUAC